This 253-nucleotide ribosomal RNA is filed under the name uncultured prokaryote. Its description in RNAcentral is "partial 16S ribosomal RNA". It matches the Rfam family "Bacterial small subunit ribosomal RNA", at positions 525 to 777 of the family's 1533-position model. The record is from RNAcentral.
ACAGAGGGGGCAAGCGUUGUUCGGAAUUACUGGGCGUAAAGGGCGCGUAGGCGGCCUGUUAAGUCGAACGUGAAAUCCCCGGGCUCAACCCGGGAACUGCGUCCGAUACUGGCAGGCUUGAAUCCGGGAGAGGGAUGCGGAAUUCCAGGUGUAGCGGUGGAAUGCGUAGAGAUCGGGAAGAACAUUGGUGGCGAAGGCGGUCUGCUGGGCCGUUGCUGACGCUGAGGCGCGACAGCGUGGGGAGCAAACAGGA